CCCUACGGGGGGCAGCAGUAGGGAAUCUUCCACAAUGGACGAAAGUCUGAUGGAGCAACGCCGCGUGAGUGAAGAAGGGUUUCGGCUCGUAAAGCUCUGUUGGUAGUGAAGAAAGAUAGAGGGAGUAACUGGCCCUUAUUUGACGGUAAUUACUUAGAAAGUCACAGCUAACUACGUGCCAGCAGCCGCGGUAAUACGUAGGUGGCAAGCGUUGUUCGGAUUUAUUGGGCGUAAAGCGAAUGCAGGCGGUUCAAUAAGGUUGAUGUGAAAGCCUUCGGCUCAACCGGGGAAAUGCAUCAGAAACU
This 305-nucleotide ribosomal RNA is filed under the name uncultured bacterium. RNAcentral describes it as "bacterial SSU rRNA". It matches the Rfam family "Bacterial small subunit ribosomal RNA", at positions 337 to 634 of the family's 1533-position model. The record is from RNAcentral.